Long non-coding RNA from Setaria italica (foxtail millet), 4377 nucleotides. RefSeq lists it as uncharacterized. The transcript is spliced from 3 exons. NCBI's taxonomy places the organism in Eukaryota, Viridiplantae, Streptophyta, Magnoliopsida, Poales, Poaceae. The record is from RefSeq and is a predicted model, not a curated record.
CCGUCGAAAUGCCGCCGCCGGCCGCCUCUCGGCCCUCCUCCGCCGGUGCGCGGCAGGCGGAGCGCUUUCUCCGGGCGUGCAGUUUCACACGCAGGCCCUGGUCGGUGGACGGUGGGUGCCUUCCGGAGUCCGGACGCCACCCUGGACACCGACCUCGUCCAGCUCUUCUGCCGCUGCGGGGCGCUCCAUCGCGCAUGCCAGGUGCUCGAUGCAAUGCCCUCGCCUUCCAUGCACGCGUACAACGUCCUCCUGGAGGCGUAUCCACCCGUCGCGUCGCUGCAACUACUCGCGCGCCUCCUCGCCGCGGAACACCGGCCCGGCAGCGAGCCGCUGGACAUGUACGCCAAAGCUGGGAUGUUGGACGACGGCAUGACACUGAGAGUGUUCGACGAGAUGCCUGAGAGGGACUCUGUCUGUUGUAUGGUUACUGGGUAUGCGAGGGCCGGGAGACCAGCGGAGGCAUUGGAUCUUUGCAGGAGGGGGCAGGUUGAGGCCAUGAACAUAGAGAAUGAUCUACAUGCAGUGCCGAGUGUGCGCAAUGUCUGUGCAAAGGAAGGGGACCUGAUGAAGGGAAUGGGAGAUCCAUGUCAGGAUGGUGUGGUGCCUUGCUUUUGAUUCGGACGUUGCUGUGUGGAAUGCGUUAGUUGACAUGUAUGCAAAGUGUGGGCGUGUGGACGCCCUGCAGGCUGUAUCUGCAGCCAUGAAGGAGACUAAUGUGCUGAGCUGGUUGACAUUGAUUUCUUGUUAUGGUGUCCAUGGCAUGGGGAAGAAGCAUUGAAGAUUUAUGACGAUAUGGUGUCCAUAGGGGUGAAGACGGAUUGUAUCACGUUCACUUCCAUCCUGUCCGGUUGCAGCCAUUCAGGGCUUGUGAGUGAUGGUCGGAGCAUCUUUGAGUCAAUGGGCAAGGUUCAUGGUACCAUUAUGCAUGUAUGGUUGACCUCUUGGGGUGUGCUGGAGCCAUUGAAGAAGCUGUCGAGUUCAUAAGGAAGAUGCCUAUGGAGUCCGGUGCCAGUGUGUGGGGAGCGUUGCUCUCUGCUUGUGCAUUCCAUAAGAAUGUUGAUGCUGGGGAGUGAGGAGAUGGCAGCUUAUAGGCUGUUUUGAGUUAGAAGAAGGCAAUGCUAGCAACUAUGUUACUCUUGGUGGUAUUUAUGAUGCAGUUGGUCGGUAUGAUUAUGUUGCAGGCUUGAGGUCAAGGAUGUGGGAACUUGGCAUGGUGAAGACACCUGGUUGCAGUUGGGUUGAUGUGAAGGGAAGAGCCUGUGCCUUCCACCAAGGAAGCAUUCUAUGCUUUCUGAGGAGGCGCAUGCUCAGGUUUAGAUUGGUUACUUGGGGAUAUGGGUGCUUCAGAAUCAGAAGAUGAAUAUCUGAGCUGUGAGCUAAUUGGCACUGAAUUUGUGAUGGUCCAGUGUUGAUAGAGUCAGUUUGGUUUGAUGCAAAAGCAACUGAUUUUUCUUGAUUGCUGCUGUGCUUCAAUAAAAAGUAUGAUAUGCAGCAAAGAAUUUCAAUGUGCUGGUCUGCCAAGUGCUGGAGGACUUGGAACCAUUAAUGAACAGAUCCAGAGUACCAUGCUGAAUCAUGAAGUGCUUGGGUGGGAGAACGAAGGAUGAUUCAUUCAAGGCAAGAAAUUUCUGCUCCAAUUUGGCUACACAACAGGUCGCGCAAACCAAGUGGUUCUUAACAUUGUGAUAAAAUUAAAGGGAAGAGAACUGAUAAACUUCUCCAAAUAGCAGUUCACAAUCAUUCAAUGAGUCAAUUAGAGCAAGGUCAAUGUUACUUCUAGCCACCAUGAGAAGUUAUUAUUCACAAGAGAUGUGCAGAGUAUCAAUCCCUCCAAGCAUAGAAAUGAGUUCAUGGGCCUUAGAGGGAAUCAUGCAUUGUUUUUCAGUGAAGAUCUGGGCAUAAAUCUAGAGAAAGGACUUUUUUUUUUGUCACAAACACAUUAUAUAUUGUUCACACACUUUGUUGUUGGCCAGUGAUAACCAACGGGGCGGUCCAAAGAAGAUGCAGUGUUCUAUGUAAAAAAAUAAAAUAAAAAAAAAACUCGACCACAGGAGGAGACUCCCCCAGGCUUUGUUUUAAGAAGGUGCCAAGCUUCUCGCGGUGGAUCGGUUAGAGUGUUGAACUCUCCGGGAAUUGUUGAAACUUUUGAUUCAGUUUUUAUACAUAUGGUGUGGCCUUGCAAAAGCAAGGAUGGAAAAGGUGCCAACCAUUAUCAACUGCAAAUUGCUUAAUCAGGCACCUUUUUGGCACCAUUCAGCAGUGGCUUUCCCUGAAUUCACUUCAUGACAACCAUUUAGUACUGCCAACACCAAAUUAUAUGAUUUUCUACAUUUUUUUAAUCUAAACAAAUGAUUAGUAUGAUUUAUGGCUGGACAACUAUUGAGUUGAAGAAUAUGCAACACAAACAAUAGAAAAUAUGAGUCUAGAGUACUAAGUUCGCAAUAAAGCAUAUGCGUAUGUGUAAUAGUAAAUUUCGGAAUUUUCUUUCGUUCGCCACUGAAAUUACCAAAUUCCAUGAAAUUUCAGCGAAAUUUCACCAAAAUUGGGAACCCUGCUGCCAAAAACAAGGAUUGUUUUUCCCAGUUGUUACUGUCAGCUUUUGGCCUUCCGGGAGCAUGGAGACAUCCAGCUUCCAUGCUAUGUGCUCUCUCCAGGUAUUAACCUAUCAUUUCAUUGCAUUCUCCAUGCCCUCCAAUGCAGAUAAGCCUCUUAUCAUCUUACUCCAGAUUCAGAUUUACUUUCUGGACCAUGUGUUGCACACUGAUCAUGCAUAAUUUAUUCAGAAAAAGAAUUCUAGUUAUGGAAAGGAAAUGCCUCUGCCAACUGAAACUGUUGUUAAUCAAGCUUAACACAGCAUUAAGAAGGUAACUCUACUGCAGAAGUUUGUAUCUUGUCCUGACAAUAGAACUUGUGGAUCAAGAUUCAUGAUGUUACAUUCAUUGAAAAUAAGAUUCAUUGCUUACCAUGUCCGGUAUAUCAUUAGCAGAAAUGCUAACCCCCAAGUACAAGAAGCAUCAUAACAGUUGGACGACCAUUCUUUUCAAUGAAUGACCCUUUGCCAUCCUUUCCAAUGAACAAGUCUCCCAUCCUUUUAAUACUAGUGAAAUGCAGCUGAGCUUAGAAAAGUGAUUCCAGAAUCCUGAACUAUUUUGGCGUAGUUGCUGUGGCAAAUUGCACAAUGCCCCACACUUACUACUCUGACUUAGGUGCUUACACCAGUUGCUCUGUGUUCAAUACUUCAGGAUUGCAAUCUGAGGAUAUACGUAAAGAAGAUAAACAUAAUACUUGGAAGGUGUAUUAUCAACUGAGAAUGUGAACAUCUUGCUCUCGUUAUGGGGGUUAUUGAAGGUGUAAUCUUCAAAAUCACAACUUUGGCUGAUUGCUAAAAAUAUUUCAUCACAGAUAGUGCCAUGGACCAGAAAUACCCAUGAUCUUCCUUCAACCUCAUGGAACUCAAUCAGCCUUGGUGAAACUUUUGAAUUCGUUGUUCAAAUUUAUGAUUCCUGUUCUUGUGGAUGGAUGGCACUUCUUUGACUUCCUUGCUCUUAAUAUUGAUGUCCUGCAAAACAAAUAAAGUCGAUAGUUUAGACAGAAUUCUAGUUCACUAAGGCUGGGGCUAAAUCUGGUGCAUCAAUGUGCAAAGAAUAAAUACCAAAACAAAAAGGGUUUCAAAAGUUCCUGAUUAAUAAUUACUGCUACUAUAUUUGUUUCGUUUAACAAGUUUGCUUUGAGUUGUGACAUUGCAGUAGACAUGGAAUCCGGUGCAAUGGUAGUAAAGCAGAGUAUGUAGAUGUCGCAACUCGAAUAUUUGUUGCUUGAUUAGUUUUCUUCUUUCUUUUGUUGCUAACAAAAAGGGACAGGUGCCACUAUUAGUUUUUUCCACCCAGACUUCAUCUUAUUGCUUAUUGAAUACUGAAUGGUCGUCUCAAAUGUGAUAACGGAGUUACAAGCAAGGAGAUCCACACAUCUUUUGUAUCAAACAAUCUUGUAAGAGAAGCAAAUAAGGAUGCUAUUUUUAUGCAAAGAUGACAAAAGCAGCAGUCUCAGUGUAAAAGUUUAUGGAAACAGUCGAUACUGUUGGCAGGGCAUUCAUCACCUGGUUAAUGAUUAAGUACUUAAUUUGCAAAGAUGUGGCAUGUAUAGAAUAAAAGGCUGUCAAGUUCAGUAAAAGUGACCACGGGGUAAAUCUUAUGUGAUGAUAUAACCUAAUAAUAUUAACAAUUCUAUAGUAAUUCCUAUUUGAAAAGAAAGGUAGCCACUGUAGCAUUGCAAUAAUCCUAGCACACAUCAACAAAUGAAUUCACAGAUUCAUAAUUUCAUUGAUAAUGUCCAUAUUGAUACUGCUAAAAAAUUAGGAUGUUCAAGGGUUCCAGUUAA